GGAAGUAAAAUUCGUAACAAGGUUUCCGUAGGUGAACCUGCGGAAGGAUCAUUAUUGUAUAACCGAGGUGCGAGGGCUGUCGCUGACCCGAAAGGUCGUGCACGCCCGAGUGCCCUCACACACAUCCAUCUCACCCCUAUGUGCACCACCGCGUGGGUCCCCCUUUGGCUUGUUCGGAGGGGGGCUUACGUUUUCACACAAACUUUGUAUGCAGUGUAGAAUGUAUUUUUUGUUUUUGCGAUCACGCAAUCAAUACAACUUUCAACAACGGAUCUCUUGGCUCUC
This 285-nucleotide unclassified non-coding RNA is filed under the name plant metagenome. RNAcentral's name for it is "partial contains small subunit ribosomal RNA, internal transcribed spacer 1, and 5.8S ribosomal RNA". The stretch from base 1 to 54 matches the Rfam family "Eukaryotic small subunit ribosomal RNA", at positions 1778 to 1831 of the family's 1831-position model. The record is from RNAcentral.